CGCGUGAGUGAUGAAGGCUUUCGGGUCGUAAAACUCUGUUGUUAGGGAAGAACAAGUACGAGAGUAACUGCUCGUACCUUGACGGUACCUAACCAGAAAGCCACGGCUAACUACGUGCCAGCAGCCGCGGUAAU
RNAcentral lists this ribosomal RNA (134 nucleotides) under uncultured bacterium. RNAcentral's name for it is "partial 16S ribosomal RNA". It matches the Rfam family "Bacterial small subunit ribosomal RNA", at positions 398 to 524 of the family's 1533-position model. The record is from RNAcentral.